This is a non-coding RNA of Cinara cedri, 11763 nucleotides long. Lineage: Eukaryota; Metazoa; Arthropoda; Insecta; Hemiptera; Aphididae. The record is from the annotation of a GenBank genome assembly.
CCCGACCGCGUACGAGAGUCCGGACUUCCGGGAUUAGCAAUUUCACGUUAUCAUCGUUCGCGUUCGGGUCCCGCGGUGAUAGCGUUUGCGGUUGUACGCGGUCGCGAAGUCACGGUCCGAAGCUUAACAAUAUUAAAAUUGCUAUAUAAAAUUGCUGUAAUGUUAUUGUACAGCGCUGAAGUGCGCCGCCAAUCGAUGAUAUCGUCCGCGACGACGGCGAAAUAAGUGAGUAUUUAACAAUAAUAUUGCGAUGACAAUAAUAUCGUUAUUAUGUUAUCGGCCGGAAAAAUAUAGGUAAUAUUAUACCGAUCGUCGUUACACCGUAGUAGUUACACUGCACCGUCGGUUGUUACAGACGGAUUCGCCGCCGUGUGUACCGCGCGAGUAUCCGGUGUAAACAAGUACAAUAAGUCACCCCGCCCCGGUCGCCGCGGCCAAUACAAUCGCCCUUUGUUCGGAAGAUUUACACCGCGGUACCUUCACGUACGAAAACAGCCGGGGCACAGUCACGACGAUAUUCCUCCCCCUCUCUUCACCUAUCCUACUCUUCCCCCGCCCCCUUCACCUAUUCCCCUCUCCCCCCCCCCGGCUAUGAAUUAUCAUAGCCGGGUGACGCGAUCGCGCGCACAAAUCGUAAAACAAUAAAAAUUCAAAUUAUUAUCCGUCGGUACGUAUUAUUACGUGUAUUACCUAUACACGAUGUUAUUACAGUGCCUAUUAUUGUAUCCACGUAGCGUCGAAAUUUUCUCGUAAUACAAUCGAGAACUGUUACACCGUGUAUGGGUACAGUAUGGCGAUUUCCAAAAAAAACAAAAAACCGCGUUUUAUCGUCCGUAUAUUAUAGUCGUGCGUUCGUUAUUUUCACUGUGCAGGAUCAACGGCGACGUUAUCGCAUUUUUAUAACUUUUUUUUUUCCCCGGUAAAACUUUGUACUGUUAUAACUAUGUCGAAAGCGAAUAAAGAAACACUUUCCUCGAGUAUCUGUUUUUUCGACAACGGAUAUUGCGCGCAGGAAAUAAACGAGGCUGGUAGAACAUAGGUGCUCUAUAUGCUAUAUUGAUUUUUGUUUCUUUCACUCGUGUGUUUCAACUGUAACUAUAUAAUAAUAUUGUUACCGUUACGAACACCGACCGUUCAUAUUGUACAAUCGAGGGGAGGGGAUGUGAAUGAAAACAAUUUCAUUAAUGCUUUAGAUCCGCUUCAAUAAUAAUAAUAAUAAUUAUAAUCAAUUAGAUUUUUCGAAUAUAGUAUUUUCCGAAUACUCGUUGAGAAUAGUCGAAAAACCUAUUUUAGACACGUGCGCGAAGUGGAUGUAUUAUUGUUGUGUUUUAGUGGCUAUACAUUUUUUUUUUUUUUCAUGUGAGUUAAUAUAGCGUUUAAGUACGUGGUUUCGUGUACCGGAUACGUCAAUUAUUAUUGAGCGCGGGAACGUAAUGGAUUUUAAAACUAUUAUUAUUAUCACGGUCGGAACGGUUUUAAGUGAAAUUAUUUUUCGGAAUAUGUUUACAAUAUUUUUAUAUAAAGUGUAACUUUGAGAUGCCGGUUUUUAUAUUAUUCCAAAGUGCCUACCCGUCUGUGUAUUUUCAGACCCUACCCGAAUUCGGCCCGAAUGUUAGUUACACGCAGAUUACGUGACUCUCCGCGUGGUUUUCGAUCGAUUAUGACCGAGAUUUUAAGUUUACACGUCUUGUAAUUCGCUGACAUUCUUGGAGCUGCAAUGUUUGGACCGAUAAUUAGGUUUUGUAUUGUAAAACUCACUGAAUCGAUUCGAUUGCGUUUUUACUCAGGUCGAACUCUGAUAGGGGUCUGUAAAUACGCUCCCUGGUUACGUGAAUAUAAAACGCAAUAUUAUUAUCGUGUGAAAUUUGACACCGUAUGUAGACAAUAUAAUAUAGGUACUUUAAAAAAGUAUAUAUAUACAUUUGCACUUAUAUGCUUGUAUAGCGGAGUGGACACUAAAUUAUUAUGUAAGACAGGCUCAUAGUCAGGAUUUUGUCAUUGGAGGGUAGGUGGUGGUGUGGGGGGGGGGGUGACAACAAUUUGUUUUAAAAAUAAUUUUAAACUUCUUUGAAUUAAUACGGGAGAGGGGAUUGUGAUUUUGCAAGUAUAAUUAUCAAUCUCCAAAUCGAUAUUUGUGAUACCCGCGUGUGUUGUCUCCGUCUUAAAAGCGUAUACGUCACAGGUAAUUUGCGUUCAGUAGAGAUAACUUUGGGACUGUUAGUUUGUAGUAUGAGAGUCGAUUGACCUAUUAUCAAAGUGAAAGAUAUGAAUAUUAUCUGUGCAUCGUUUGCGCUAUAUUUUCGAUACUUUAAUUUUGAGAAGAGAUAUGAGUAUGUAAAAUAUCAUUAAAUCUUUAAGUUUGAUGAUAGGUCAAUUUACAUUAAUAUUAAAACUAACAACACGACUUCGUUUUUUCUGAACGCAAAUUUACUACGUUGCAGUCAUACGAAAUUUCAUAAUCUGAAAUAAUAAUCUAAAUGGCAUUUCGGUAUGUUUAGAUGAGUAUGGCAUGAUUAAUACUUAGUAAAGGAUAUUAUUACAGGAUAAUGUACAGAUGCAUUUCCGUGCAUAGGUGUGAAUAGACUUCAUCCAAAGCUACAGCCUAGUUAAUAACCGGCACCACUUAAUGAACCGAAAAAACCUUUAAUUUAAAUAGGGGGAGAUUAGACUCCCCCCAAAUUAAAUAUUUAUAUAAUUUAAAAAAGUCUGUAUUAUCUAUUUAUUGCAAUUAAUAAUGUAAAAUAAUUUCAGUACCUUUAAAUUCAACUAUAGAAAUAUUAUUUACAUUGGUAUUGUAUAGGCCAGGUUUACAUCGCCAUGUAAUUAAGUAAUUUACAAAAUAUAUGAUGUGUGUAUGUAUAGAAUAACAAAAAUUAUAAACUUAUAGAGAAUAAUAUUUUGUUUUAAACAAUGCAUAAGAAAUUUUUUUUUAAUAAAAGUUGUAAGCCUAAGUUGACCGGCGCUUUUCAAAAAUUGCAGGGGCAGCCCAGUUGCCCUAAAUCUUAAAGAUAUCCCUAAACCCUUCGGCUACCACCGAAGAUCUACCUAUGUCUCACCUAUGUAUGUAAUUUAAUUAUAAUAAUUUGAUAUAUUAUAAUGUUUUAUAAUAUUUUAUUUUAUAUUUAUACCAUAUGUACGUAUAUACUCUUUUUAAAAUUUAUACCAAGAAUUAAAACAUUUUUAUCCAUAUCUUUUAAUUGCACAUUUGGUUAAAAGUAAAGAAAUAAAUAUCUACAUAUUUUUGCAUUUUAAAUACAUAUAAAUCCGUACCCUACUUAUCAUUUUAAUUCUAAUAAUUCCCACAAAAAUGCGGGAAAUGUUAUUAAAUCUUGUUACGUGUACCAGGUACCUAUAUAAAAGACUGAAUUUUCAGGUUAGAUGAUAUUUUGUCAAACCGUUUAAAAAAAAUGUUAUACAAACAUAAUGAGCCGAUUCUCACUGUUUAUUUUACUACACUUCAGGGAAAGUCCUAAAAAAGAAAAACUACUUUUAUUCCGCAGUCGUUAUAAUUUAUGCACUGGAAUAUUACAAUUUCAGAGGCGAUGUAUUUACGUAAAAACGAUCGAAUAUUCAAAUAGAUAAUUAACAUUAAAAACAAAUUUAACAUUAUAAAAAUGCAUUAUUUUAAAUCGAUGACGAUACGAUUUUCCGGUCUUUUCCAUGCAGCCGAAACUGUAAAAAAAAACCACCCCGAGGACAAUAUAAUCCGUUUGAAACGUCACGCGAUUUAAUAUUUCAUUAUAUAUCAUGACAUCUCGUGAAACUAUUUUAAAUAUCAUAGUCCGCCGGAGUACGCACAUAAGCAUUAGGUUACAAAUGUCAGGGGCGUACCAAGGCUUUUUUUUAUCAGAGGGUAGAUCAUUUUAUUUUAUUUGUUCCCUAAUAAUUAUUAAAUCCAUGACCAAUAGAUUGCUGUUAAUAACACUAAUAAUAGUCAUAAUAGUUAUACACAAGUAUCUCCAGCGUUCUCACACUUGUACACACUUUUCAGAAGGGUUUAUUACAUUUAUGGGAGAUCUCCCAUAAAUUAAUCCCCCUCCCCCCUGGGUAACAAAGAGUAAUAAUAAUUGAUUUUGGUCAGUGACAGAAAAAUAAAACAAAGAAUGAGUGUAGCAGAAAUGAGAAUGCAUACGAGUAGGUGGAUGAGUGGAGUGACGAAAGAAACUAUAAAAUACGGAAUGAGUAUAUUAGAGGAAGCUUAGGCGUGGUUUUGAUAGUAGAUAAGAUGAAAAAAAAAGUGAGAGAAAAUGACUGGGAUGCAGAUUUGGGUAUGCCAUGAGGAGAGAGGAAUCAAAAGCAGUGCGAAUUGUAAUGAAUAUAAACGUAGGAGGAAAAAGGAAGAGAGAAAGACCGAAAAAGAGGUGGUUGGGUGCGAUCUCGAAGGCACUCGCUUAAUUCUAUAUUAUUGUGCUACUAUGUAAUGAAGCCCCAAAGUAUUCUUCUUUUAGAAAAAAAUAAGAUAAUAUUUGAACUGCUUCCAAUUUCUGCGGGAGAAUUGAAUUAAAACGGGAAAAGUCCAUUCUUAUAUUAUCGUCUAUCAAGUUGCUUAAAGAAAAGCGUUCCUUUUCAUUAAAAUUACCAAAGCAUUUGAUAAUUAAAAUUAAUAAUUAAUUACAGGCUAUAAUUAAAUCAUAAUUAAAACCUUUUUUGAAUCUGAGCGUAGCGAAGAAUGUAUUGAUUUAUAUUAUAAUACAGCGGUUCUCAAACUUUGGUACGUGGUAGGAAACACAAUGGUACGCAGAAGGACGUGUGGCUUAACAGUUCGAAAAAAUAAAUUAAUCAAUAUUCAUACAAAUGUUUUUUAAUGGAUCUAAUACUAUAUUGAAGUAUUUUACUGUAUUAUCAUACAAACCGGGUAUUUUCUAAAUAGUCUGAUAACUGUUUUAAUAUUUCUUAAUUUUCUGUAUAAUAACAUUAUUGUUAAUGCGCCAUACGCAUAUAACGAUAUAGCAUUACUUUCAGCUGAAUACGUUAAAUUGUUUGUGAACAAAUGUGCUAUUCGAUAAAUUGUCGUUUGCGAGCAUUUGUUUUUCGAUCAACAGUUAAAAACAAAAAUAAAAUAAACGUAAUUGUUAAACCGAUACAUUCCUCGCUCCACUCAGAAUCUAAAAUAAUAAUAACAAUAUUUUUUAGUGUAUUUUUUUUUGAGAGCAUAUAUGCUCAAUAUAUUGACUGCUACGUAUUUUUUUUUUUUUUUUUUUUUUUUUUUCUGGACAGUUAAAAGUCCCUUUAUUCUAUAGUCAUAUUAUACACCAAAACUAAAACACCAAUCCCCAGUGCCACGGGACACAAUAUGUGAUCUCACGUCCUAAAAAUUCAAAAUCCCGUGGAAACUCUAUUUUUUCGAGUCACUGAAGUAAUUGUUAAGUUUCAAAAUCAAAUGCCCUAUGACUUUUGGAAAGUUCGCUCUAAAAACUCACGGCGGGGAAGAGAAUGUUGGCGAGAUCCCGAAUCGGGUUUCAUGGCAGCCAAGUUGUUUAAACGCAUUUUUUUUUUUUUUUCUGGACAGUUAAAAGUCCCUUUAUUCUAUAGUCAUAUUAUUUUGGUUCGGAGAGACAGCGUACCAUAUUGUGAACUGUUAUUAACGGUGUCUGAUUAAAAUCGAACGGUUCAGUCGUGUUACAUACGUGCGCACAGUCGCCCUAACAUCGGGACGGUUGCGUAACCCGCGGCGGUCGGUUCGGUGUGUACAGUGUCGUACGUCGCCGGCGGCGAUCGCCCCCGCACACACAUGUUUGACGUUAAAAUAUUUCUCGCUCUCUCUCUCUCUCUCUCUCUCUCUCUGUCUGUCUGUCUGUCUGUCUGUCUAUCUCUCUCUUUCUCUCUCUCUCUGUCUGUCUGUCUGUCUGUCUAUCUCUCUCUUUCUCUCUCUCUCUUUCAAUCGCACAGCAGACUCGAAUUUCCCCGGGCCCGUCCCGUUAAUCCGUUUAACGGCGUUACCGUUUUUACAUUACAAAACGGCCGGAUUUCAACGCGCUACCACAAUGUUAUACCCUAUAUAAUACGAUUGUCAUGCGAGGUCGGUGGCGUGCCCAGGAAUUUUCAACGGGAGUGGUCGUAGGGAAUUGUGAACCGUAAACUCGCCUUCUCCGUCUGUCCGUUGACGAGAUUUUUCACUUGUGAUUUUGGGUCGGGGAACAAUAGCGGUACAUCAGUUAUGUGGCGGCACGGCGUCUGUAUAACAUGGAUAAAGUUGCUGGUUGAUUCUUUUAUCGUAACAAAAAAAAAAAAAAAAUUGCGAAAAAAGUUUAUUCUUUUCGAGAUAUGGCAACGAGUAUUAUCUUCGUGAGACAUCCCGUGUAUCCUGUGUAUUAUUAUCAUUCCGUUUUUCAUCGAAAUAUAAUCAACAGACAAGAAGAACAAUGUUUCCUCGCAUGUAUAGGAAAAUCACAUUUACCCAGAACGGUAUAACAUACACGUCGUACUGUUAUGUACAUGUAUAUUGUAUAUCUAAUCGUAUAAUUAAUAUUUCGAGGUACUACUAUGGUAGUUAUGUACAACAAUGUACCGUAAAAAUUAUACAUUUUGUUUGACAAUAUUAUUAAAAAUAAUAACGAUCAGCUUGAAAGUCGAUCCGACAGCACCGUGGCGAUGUGAGUUUGUCUUCUGUUUAGUUUACUGUUCUACGCAGUGCAAUAUUAUUUGAAGUCUGAAAACGGAAUUACUGCACGUGCAAUGUUUAAAAGCAGUGCAGGUUCCCGGCCUCGUUGACACUACGGGCCACUCGGAGUUCUUUCGAUGGGUCGCGGACCCCUACGAUUUGCGCGGGUCGAUAAGCCCGUACAAGCCCGCAUUUUUUUUUUUUUUUUCUAAAAAAAGGUUACGCGCAAAAUAUUCCUAGAAUAUAACAUCAGUAUAAGAAAAAAAAAGCUCCAAGUCAGGCCGAACUUAUAACGCCGAGCCGAAUCGCGGGAUUUUAAACACGCAAAUUAAUGAUAUAUUAAUAUCGUGUACGUUAAAUACUUUAUUCAGUUUCGUGGGUGACGCCUCGCGGACCGCCGGUGAUCCGCUCGGACCGUACGUUGGGAACCACUAAUUUAAAGGGACGAUUUUUUUCAAAGACACAUUUUAAUUCAGCGAUCUCCCGGCCGCGUUCAAGGUGCACCGGAUUCGGUCGAACGUAAUAUCGAGUGGCCGGAAAAUGUCGACGGGUACAGAAUACGUAAUGUUAUACUAAUAUAGUGUAUUUUGCCCGAAAUAUUAUUCGGUCGAUAAACCGUCCGCGUGGGCGACGCUGUCGCCGCCGUCGUCCUGUCGAACUCGACUUGUCGAAUACUAUUUUGUUUUAUAUUACCGCACGAACGGUUAUUAUAAUGUUGACGCGUACGUUUCUUUUUGUUAAAACAACAGUCCGCGGACGUCGAAAUCUUCCGACCCGGCCGCGUUAACUUUCUCCGUAUACAUAAAUAUAUUAUAUAGACUCUGAAAAGAAUAGCGACCAGACCGAAACCUUAACGCACGUCCGCGCCUUCUUUUAAUUUACAAUCAUUUCCGCCGCAACAAAGCGCCGUUCGGUCGUUCGGACCGCAUUUAACCUAUAAGUUAACCUAUAAGCGAACGGUAACCCGGCGAACGAUGCCGUGCGCAGAGCGUAAAGUUACGAACAGGGCUCGUGAUUUGUAGCUUAAAAAAAAAAAAAAAGUUGUUAUGUGUGCAAUGAUACGCUCUUAAACACAUUCAUAUAAGCGCUUAUAUCUGCACUGAAAAGUGUUGAAAUAUGCACGAAAAUAAGUAAAUUUUAAGUAAAAAGUUCGCAAGUAAAAACACGUUGCACGAGUAAACAACACAGAUUUCAUUAUUAUAUAAAAACACAGACGACGUUUUCUACCAGAAAAAAUGAUUUAAUCGAAAAAUCACAAGAUACUAUUUUUUUUUGCCUUUUCGAUUUGCUUUCUUCGGGUAUCAUCAUCAAAACUUUUGAGCUUUUAAGGAAUUUUAAUAUUUGGUAGUUUUUUUGCUGUAAUUUGGUUAUAAACACACUUAGAGACUUGAAACUUGGUAAUAAUACUUAUAUUGGACUUACCUAACAAAGGUAGAAUUUCCAAAAUCAUCGGACGACUUUCUUUUUUUGAAUAAGCGUUUUAAAUUCAAAUUUAAAUUAAAAUUGCAAAGAAAAUUACGGCACUUCAAAUUAUAUAUUACCGAACUGCACUCGGAAUCGUCUUUCGUCAAUUAAUGGUUUAUCGUUGUUUAUAGAUAUAAAUGAAAUAACCUUAUGUAUCCUACUUUCGCAACUUUUCACCUACAACAGUGCCCGCUCCCAUUUUUCUUUUUUGAAAUAACGAUAUAAGCGUCAAAUAGCCGUAAAAACAUCAACAUAGCAAAAUAGCGUCAAAAUUUAAAAAUAUGUAACAAUUUUGUAUUUGACUUCCUGGUUAUCUGAAACGAAUUUGUAACUUACUUAGGUGUUACUAGGACUUGUUAAAACAAAUAUGCAUAUGCUACAAGUCACGAGCCCUGGUUACGAAUAUUUUAAAUCGACAGGUGUACGAGCACGUGGUCCGACUUUCCUUCCUCGAGUGCGUUACGAUAUUGAGAACUUCUUGCGAGUCUAUCCAGCAGACGCGCCUUAAAACCCAGAACUAUAAACAUAUUUUAUCGGCAGGUAUGAGGUAUUAUUGUUAUGACCUCGGACAUUUGUACACGUAUCUGACGGGUUUCUGAUUUUUUAACGCGAGAAAAUAUUAAUGUUGCCGUCGACUGAACACGACGACGACGUACAUCCGAGGUGUAGGUCGAAUUAUUCGACAAAUGUAUAUUUUCCCCCUUUUUUUUUUUCUGUUUUUCUAAUUAUCAAACACACGGGCAGUUUAGAAUGAUUUUCAUUCGAUCGGAUCGAAGUGCACGGUACUAGAGUAUUCGGCAUAUCAGAUUUGAAUUCAGCGCUCAGUGUACACGAAACGGGAUUUCGGAAUUGAUUUCUUGCGAAAACUAAAAAGGAACAUUUAAAAAUUAAAAUAAAAAUUAUAAAAAAAAAAAAAAAAUACCGAAAUUGAAAAAAGUGAUCCGCCCGAUCUCGCGUACAUAAUAUUAUAUUUGGCGGUCUGUUUUCCGAAUAUUAUUCGUAUCGGUUCGUUAUUUAAAAGCGCCCCGCUUUUAUAGCUUAAUACCCGAUAUUACGCUGCGUGGGCGUGUUAGACAAGAAAUAAUGAAAUAAAUAUUGGUAUUCCCAUUUCCUCAAAGAAAAACGAAUGAUUUCACGAUAGCAGUUUUUCGACUAUAUAUAUAUAUAUAUAUAUAUUAUGGUGGUUCAUUUAAUAUAAAACACUCGCUAUUUCUCAAAGUAUUGACUUUUUAACGGCAAUUUGAGAAAGCAGCUCUAAAACGAUAUAACACUAACACGGCGUUACUAACACCCAUGCUAAAUACGCCAUUUUUAGAGCUGUUUGUUCAUCACAAAUUGUUUCAAAAAAAAAAUCAAUACUUUGCAAAACACUCAGUGAAUUUUACGUUGAAUGAAUCAACCUGCAAAGAUUCUAUAAAAGGGAUUUUAAUUUAUGAAAAAAAAAAACCGAUCCUAUCGGACCGGAAAUUAUACAACCAUUUAGUUUUCAUUCCGUCGCGUGUGUAGGGAAAUACACUUACCCACCUUUACCUAUCCACAUUAACGUUCGGUAGUUGAAAAUGGUAUUCCUCCCUCCGAGCCGACUCGCGAGUGGUGGCCAAGUCUGACGCGAGGGUCAGUCCGGUUUUGUAGGGUAGGCUAAAGAUUUAUUACCGAAAAUACCAUUUCAACGUCCUAUUAAUAAAACGUCCCCGCGGCCCAGAAGAAGGAUUAUUAUUUAUUUAUUUUCGUUUUUAUCGCGUCACCACGAAAAAUGUUCGGUUUACGACGUACACCAAUAAUUAUUCGUGUAUAUACCGCUCGUUAAAUCGAAUGUUGAAACACUUUCGAUGUUUAUCACGCAUCUAUUUCGAAAGACGGUGGCUUCCGGUGUCUACCGCGGCCGAACCGGGUUUAAGGUGCACCCGGCUCAGGUGCCGAAUUUUGAGGUCUCGAAAAUAAGCCAUCUUUACGUACAAAAACAUUUAAUUAACUUUUUGUACGCUUGAUCGGUGACACGGCUGAUCCAGGCGACUCACCCCCACCCCUUGCGCCCUCAUCGUUCGCGCUUGUUCCCGGUUGAAUAUAUGCGUUCCGGAAUCCGUUUCGGCACCGGGUCGAUUAUGGUCGGCAGAUUCGAUAUCGAUUAUCAAUUUCAAAUUGUUUCGUCUUGGGGACUACGGUCGCUCGUAUCAAAAAACGUUCGGAUGUAACCCUCGAUUCGUUAUGUACGUCGGAUGGGUUACAGUCUUACAGGAGAAAUAGUACCGGCAGAAAAAAAAGAAACGGGAAAAAAUCGAUCGUCGGUAUUGAACCCGACAACAAUGGUUUUACGAGUGUCGCGUGUCAGUCCUCCACCGAAACACACUGACUAACGCUGCGACACCGUAUCCGUAUCUCCGUAUUAUGAGCUCGGGCACGAUUGAAACUGGCCAACCACCGGCACUCUAUAGGAACCGUUCUCCGUGGUUCCUAUACAUAGGGGGGAUUUAUCGACUCCGAUUACACAAUUAAUGUACGUACGCAGGUAGAACAAACAGGUCAGAAACUUUGAAUGCCGAAUUUCGCUGAACGGAUCGGAGAAGAAACCGACUUACUCACUGAUCCUCGCUGGAUGGCGGAUCGUCGAAAAUUCCACCCCUAAAACGGGUACAAUAACGGGUGAAAGUCGAAAUGUUAGGCGAAAGAGGGCGCUGAAUCGGACCAAAACGCGCAACGUGUGCACCCGCUAAACAGUACGGACGGGUGAAAACGGACCAAGUCCGCGGGUAACACGAAUAGUUGUUACGCGUGGUAUUUAUCCGACCGGAGAUCGCGUAUUAUCGCGUCGGUUCCGUGUCGCGGUCUGCGCGACGGAUGGAAGUUUAAUGAUCUCGGUAAACCGGAAAUCGGAAACGAAACUGCGUGUCUACGUUGUCCGGUGACGGUCUCGCGUUCGAAUAAUAGACAAUUAACAACAAUACAAUAAUACAAUAAUGUCAAUACGAUAAUCACGGGGUGAUCGAGUAACGGUUGUAAUCUUUUGCGCGGCUCGCGUUACGCCCGUCGGCGUAAAUAUCGGAUGGGCAAGGUGGGCGACCGACGAGGGCCUUAGCAACGGCCUAGACCAAGGCCCGAGGCAUUAUUGGACACAGGUGAUGGUAAUUUUGAAUUACUUUUUUCCGGGGCCUCCGUACAAUAUUUUGCGACGGGCAUUAGAAGUUCUAUAGCUGUACGCCACCGAUUGCGCCGUGUAAAAAACGAAUUCUCAAACGACAAUAUUGUCAGUGAACGAUCUGUACGUCUACUGUAGGUGAAAAAAAAUGUUUUAUUAAUAAUCAGAAUCGACGUGUCCAAACGUCCGGCGCAUCCGAUAAAUUGUUUACGGCCAAAACAAAGUUAUUUCGGCGGAAUCGGUUCCGCGCCCGUUCCUACGCGCUGAACCGGACGCCCGGAAUGCCUGUACGGCUCCCGGUUCGGACGUGUUUUACGGUCCCCGUGCGGUGUUUUGCGGUUGUACGAUUUUUACUGCCUAUAAUUAUUGUUAUGAUUGUUAUUAGCAUUAUCGUACCUUAUGCGCACUACUGACAUAAUAUAUGACGUUGCGUGCGAUGCGAAACCGUGUGAUUUUGAUGUUUUUUUUUUUUUUGCAGCAGCAGCAGCAGCUGUUCCGGUGUUAACGGUCCCUACAACAGUCGCGGCCAGCCUCUAUACCACCCUAACGUGCGUCGAGCCGCAGG